GGUUUUGUAUCUAAAACUGAAAUAUAUUUUGAUGUGGUGUGACCUCAGCCAUUAUUGAAGUCAAUCGACUUCACAUCACGCCGACCUAUCCAGCUCAGAAACGAAUGAUCUAAAGUUGUCGGCACCAGCCUGAAAUCUCCGAUGUCUUGCAUGUCCAAGAUCAUUGGCAUCGUGCCGAUAAGCAAGAAAUCGCUGAUAUAAUGUCACC
This 208-nucleotide long non-coding RNA is filed under the name Elaeis guineensis (African oil palm). RNAcentral's name for it is "long non-coding RNA (EGUI_LNC051690)". Lineage: Eukaryota; Viridiplantae; Streptophyta; Magnoliopsida; Arecales; Arecaceae. The record is from RNAcentral.